RNAcentral lists this long non-coding RNA (901 nucleotides) under Chinchilla lanigera (long-tailed chinchilla). Its description in RNAcentral is "lncRNA (ENSCLAG00000024682.1)". The record is from RNAcentral. Lineage: Eukaryota; Metazoa; Chordata; Mammalia; Rodentia; Chinchillidae.
CAGGAAUUGAACUCAGGACCUUGCAAUUGCCAUGAAGGUGCUUGUGCCACUGAGCUAUAUCCCCACCCAGGCUGAAGUAGAAUUUGAGAUCUGAGGUGUUUUUAUGUUUUGAAAACUAGUUUCUUCUAAUAGAGGUAAGUAUUCAUUCCCAACUCCUUAUUUGCGUUUUGCUUGGAAUUCCUAAGCAAGGAUGUGAAAAUAAAGACACUCUACAGUGAAAGUAUCUUAUAGUUGAGCCUGUUUACUUUUGUUGUUCUUUCAGUUUGUCUCAAGAUGAAGAUUUAUGCAGUAAUUGUAGCUGUUGUGAUAAGUUUAUAUUCAUUUUCAAAUUUUAUGCCAGAACAAAAAUCCUUUUCUUAGAAAUUUUCCAAGCAAGUCAACUUUUGUUUUAGGAAUGAGUCAGAGACCACCAAGACUAUAUUUUAGGUGAGUAGUUUCUCUUACUUGCUUCUUUUAUCUUUUUAGUUUACAGGUAGAUUGUAUCUUAGUCCUGAAUGCCAGUAGUUGGUUCUGAGAAAAAUGAAUUUAAAUAGAUUUAUUAACUUCUCUGCUUUUUGCCUUCUCAAUUCUUAUUGUGUUUAAUUUGUUUACAGCUGACUGCGAGGUCUCUGAAGUAAGGGGAUUCACAACGGAGUUCUUACAAGAGGUCCUUGAACCAUCUGGAUGGUGGGCAGUCUGGCCCACUAAUGUGCUUGAGGUACUGGUUGAGAACAGCUACUAGGAAUCAAGCCAGACAAGCUGCACUGCCUUGUGAUGCCUGAGCAUGGGAGGAAGUGACCUUCAAGGUGGGAGGACAAGGUGGAGAGGUGCUGGAGCCCAAUGCUUAUGAAGGUAAGAAUGAGGACAGGAAGCUGGCAUGGUGGUACUUGGCUGCAAUCCCAGCAUGCUGAGGCCGGAGGAU